Molecule: ribosomal RNA, 253 nt
Filed under: uncultured bacterium
Lineage: Bacteria
Description: partial 16S ribosomal RNA
Rfam family: Bacterial small subunit ribosomal RNA
Source: RNAcentral
UACAGAGGUGGCAAGCGUUGUUCGGAAUUACUGGGCGUAAAGGGCGCGUAGGCGGCCGUUCAAGUCGGGGGUGAAAGCCUGUGGCUCAACCACAGAAUUGCCUUCGAUACUGUUCGGCUCGAGACCGGAAGAGGUUGGUGGAACUGCGAGUGUAGAGGUGAAAUUCGUAGAUAUUCGCAAGAACACCAGUGGCGAAGGCGGCCAACUGGUCCGGUUCUGACGCUGAGGCGCGAAAGCGUGGGGAGCAAACAGG